UGAGGUGUUAUGUGCACUUCUAAGGAAGAAA
RNAcentral lists this non-coding RNA (31 nucleotides) under Mus musculus (house mouse). The record is from RNAcentral. Lineage: Eukaryota; Metazoa; Chordata; Mammalia; Rodentia; Muridae.